UAGGGAAUAUUGGGCAAUGGAGGAAACUCUGACCCAGCAACGCCGCGUGAAGGAUGAAGGUUUUCGGAUUGUAAACUUCUGAUCUGUGGGAAGAAAAAAAUGACGGUACCACAGGAGAAAGCCACGGCAAACUAUGUGCCAGCAGCCGCGGUAAUACAUAGGUGGCAAGCGUUGUCCGGAAUUACUGGGUGUAAAGGGAGUGUAGGUGGUUAUUUAAGUUGAAUGUGAAGGCUCUGGGCUCAACCCGGAAAGGUCAUUCAAUACUGGGUAACUUGAGUGCAGGAGGGGUAAGCGGAAUUCCUAGUGUAGCGGUAAAAUGCGUAGAUAUUAGGAGGAACACCAGAGGCGAAGGCGGCUUACUGGACUGUAACUGACACUGAGGCUCGAAAGCGUGGGGAGCAAACA
Molecule: ribosomal RNA, 405 nt
Filed under: uncultured Bacillota bacterium
Lineage: Bacteria; Bacillati; Bacillota
Description: uncultured Firmicutes bacterium partial 16S ribosomal RNA
Rfam family: Bacterial small subunit ribosomal RNA
Source: RNAcentral